GAUGAACGCUGGCGGCGUGCCUAAUACAUGCAAGUCGAGCGAACAGACGAGGAGCUUACUCCUCUGACGUUAGCGGCGGACGGGUGAGUAACACGUGGAUAACCUACCUAUAAGACUGGGAUAACUUCGGGAAACCGGAGCUAAUACCGGAUAACAUGUUGAACCGCAUGGUUCAACAGUGAAAGACGGUCUUGCUGUCACUUAUAGAUGGAUCCGCGUCGCAUUAGCUAGUUGGUAAGGUAACGGCUUACCAAGGCAACGAUGCGUAGCCGACCUGAGAGGGUGAUCGGCCACACUGGAACUGAGACACGGUCCAGACUCCUACGGGAGGCAGCAGUAGGGAAUCUUCCGCAAUGGGCGAAAGCCUGACGGAGCAACGCCGCGUGAGUGAAGAAGGUCUUCGGAUCAUAAAACUCUGUUAUUAGGGAAGAACAAAUGUGUAAGUAACUAUGCACGUCUUGACGGUACCUAAUCAGAAAGCCACGGCUAACUACGUG
RNAcentral lists this ribosomal RNA (497 nucleotides) under uncultured bacterium. RNAcentral describes it as "partial 16S ribosomal RNA". It matches the Rfam family "Bacterial small subunit ribosomal RNA", at positions 28 to 507 of the family's 1533-position model. The record is from RNAcentral.